CAGCAGCCACGGUAAUACGUAGGGUGCAAGCGUUAAUCGGAAUUACUGGGCGUAAAGCGUGCGUAGGCGGUUCGUUAAGUCUGUUGUGAAAGCCCCGGGCUCGACCUGGGAAUGGCAAUGGAUACUGGCGAGCUAGAGCGUGUCAGAGGAUGGUGGAAUUCCCGGCGUAGCGGUGAAAUGCGUAGAGAUCGGGAGGAACGUCAGUGGCGAAGGCGGCCAUCUGGGACAACACUGACGCUGAGGCACGAAAGCGUGGGGAGCAACCAGGAUUAGAUACCCCAGUAGUCCCUGUCUCUUAUAC
This 301-nucleotide ribosomal RNA is filed under the name uncultured bacterium. Its description in RNAcentral is "partial 16S ribosomal RNA". It matches the Rfam family "Bacterial small subunit ribosomal RNA", at positions 509 to 807 of the family's 1533-position model. The record is from RNAcentral.